GCCAGCAUGGCAGAGUGGUUUGAGUGUCAGACUACAACUCUGGAGACCAGGGUUCGAUUCCCCACUUGGCC
Non-coding RNA from Phrynosoma platyrhinos (Desert horned lizard), 71 nucleotides. The record is from the annotation of a GenBank genome assembly. NCBI's taxonomy places the organism in Eukaryota, Metazoa, Chordata, Lepidosauria, Squamata, Phrynosomatidae.